RNAcentral lists this ribosomal RNA (252 nucleotides) under uncultured bacterium. Its description in RNAcentral is "partial 16S ribosomal RNA". It matches the Rfam family "Bacterial small subunit ribosomal RNA", at positions 524 to 776 of the family's 1533-position model. The record is from RNAcentral.
UACGGAGGGGCAAGCGUUGUUCGGAAUCACUGGGUGUAAGGGUGCGUAGGCGGUCGUUAAGUUCGAUGUGAAAGCCCUCGGCUCAACUGAGGAAUGGCAUCUGGAUACUGGCGGGCUCUUGAGUGCCGGAGAGGGAAGCGGAAUUCCUGGUGUAGCGGUGAAAUGCGUAGAUAUCGUUGGAACGCCAAUGGUGAAAACAGGUUGCUGGGAGUGUGCUGACGCUGAGACACGAAAGCCAGGGGAGCGAACGGG